CCUACGGGUGGCAGCAGUGGGGAAUAUUGCACAAUGGGGGAAACCCUGAUGCAGCGACGCCGCGUGAGUGAAGAAGGAUUUCGGUAUGUAAAGCUCUAUCAGCAGGGAAGAAAAUGACGGUACCUGACUAAGAAGCCACGGCUAACUACGUGCCAGCAGCCGCGGUAAUACGGAGGGGGCAAGCGUUAUCCGGAUUUACUGGGGGUAAAGGGAGCGUAGACGGCAGCGCAAGUCUGCAGUGAAAGCCCAGGGCUUAACCUCGGAACGGCUUUGGAAACUGUGCGGCUGGAGUGCAGGAGAGGUAGGCGGAAUGCCUGGUGUAGCGGUGAAAUGCGUAGAUAUUAGGAGGAACACCGGUGGCGAAGGCAGCUUACUGGACUGUAACUGACGUUGAGGCCCGAAAGCGUGGGGAGCAAACAGGAUUAGAUACCCGUGUAGUC
RNAcentral lists this ribosomal RNA (440 nucleotides) under uncultured bacterium. RNAcentral's name for it is "partial 16S ribosomal RNA". It matches the Rfam family "Bacterial small subunit ribosomal RNA", at positions 338 to 795 of the family's 1533-position model. The record is from RNAcentral.